CUCAAUUCGGGGUACACUGAGCGGCGAACGGGUGAGUAACACGUGGGUGAUCUGCCCUGCACUCUGGGAUAAGCCUGGGAAACUGGGUCUAAUACCGGAUAUGACCUGCUCUCGCAUGGGGGUGGGUGGAAAGAUUUAUCGGUGCUGGAUGGGCCCGCGGCCUAUCAGCUUGUUGGUGGGGUAAUGGCCUACCAAGGCGACGACGGUUAGUCGACCUGAAAGGGUGACCGGCCACUCUGGGACUGAGACACGGCCCACACUCCUACGGGAGGCAGCAGUGGGGAAUAUUGCACCAUGGGCGAAAACCCAGCUGCAGCCACGCCGCGUGAGGG
Molecule: ribosomal RNA, 332 nt
Filed under: Nocardiaceae bacterium
Lineage: Bacteria; Bacillati; Actinomycetota; Actinomycetes; Mycobacteriales; Nocardiaceae
Description: bacterial SSU rRNA
Rfam family: Bacterial small subunit ribosomal RNA
Source: RNAcentral